RNAcentral lists this unclassified non-coding RNA (21 nucleotides) under Chlamydomonas reinhardtii. RNAcentral's name for it is "small RNA Cre_0286". Lineage: Eukaryota; Viridiplantae; Chlorophyta; Chlorophyceae; Chlamydomonadales; Chlamydomonadaceae. The record is from RNAcentral.
ACCUGCUGCCGGGCGUUGAGC